UAUGGCCUAGGGACGCAGCAGUGGGGAAUAUUGGACAAUGGGGGGAACCCUGAUCCAGCGACGCCGCGUGAGUGAGGAAGUAUUUCGGUAUGUAAAGCUCUAUCAGCAGGGAAGAAAAUGACGGUACCUGACUAAGAAGCCCCGGCUAACUACGUGCCAGCAGCCGCGGUAAUACGUAGGGGGCAAGCGUUAUCCGGAUUUACUGGGUGUAAAGGGAGCGUAGACGGUGCAGCAAGUCUGAUGUGAAAGGUCGGGGCCUAACCCCGGGACUGCAUUGGAAACUGUUGAACUGGAGUACAGGAGAG
RNAcentral lists this ribosomal RNA (305 nucleotides) under uncultured bacterium. RNAcentral describes it as "bacterial SSU rRNA". It matches the Rfam family "Bacterial small subunit ribosomal RNA", at positions 333 to 656 of the family's 1533-position model. The record is from RNAcentral.